Molecule: transfer RNA, 72 nt
Organism: Eremothecium cymbalariae DBVPG#7215
Lineage: Eukaryota; Fungi; Ascomycota; Saccharomycetes; Saccharomycetales; Saccharomycetaceae
Rfam family: tRNA
About the family: Transfer RNA (tRNA) molecules are approximately 80 nucleotides in length. Their secondary structure includes four short double-helical elements and three loops (D, anti-codon, and T loops).
Source: Rfam
UCCGCGAUAGUUUAACGGUUAGAAUUCGUGCUUGUCACGCGCGAGAUCGGGGUUCGAUUCCCCGUCGCGGAG